UCAACGUGGAUGCCUAGGGAUAUACAAGUGGCACAGAGGAGGAGCACAGGGCACUGGCCCAUGUGGACAAUCCCUUUCCACAGCACUGGAGAAGCCAGACCUGAAGCCCGCACUUACACAUUCCAAGAACCUCCCAGAGUCCUGUGGACAGGGACUGAGGAGACAAACCACAUGCAUCC
This 179-nucleotide small nucleolar RNA is filed under the name Dipodomys ordii (Ord's kangaroo rat). RNAcentral's name for it is "Small nucleolar RNA SNORA73 family (ENSDORG00000028212.1)". Lineage: Eukaryota; Metazoa; Chordata; Mammalia; Rodentia; Heteromyidae. The record is from RNAcentral.